GCUCCUGUGGUGCAAUCGGUUAGCGCGAGGUACUGAUACAGCAGUACUUGUGAAGGUAUGCAGAGGUUGUGAGUUCGAGCCUCAUCAGGAGCA
Astyanax mexicanus (Mexican tetra) is the source of this 93-nucleotide transfer RNA. It matches the Rfam family "tRNA". From Rfam's summary of the family: Transfer RNA (tRNA) molecules are approximately 80 nucleotides in length. Their secondary structure includes four short double-helical elements and three loops (D, anti-codon, and T loops). The record is from Rfam. NCBI's taxonomy places the organism in Eukaryota, Metazoa, Chordata, Actinopteri, Characiformes, Acestrorhamphidae.